This is a small nuclear RNA of Peromyscus maniculatus bairdii (prairie deer mouse), 105 nucleotides long. NCBI's taxonomy places the organism in Eukaryota, Metazoa, Chordata, Mammalia, Rodentia, Cricetidae. The record is from RefSeq and is a predicted model, not a curated record.
GCGUCAGUAGCACACAUACUAACUAACACUGGAGUGAGACAGAAAAGAUUAACGUGGCCCCUGUGCAAAGAUGACAUGCAAAUCCGUGAACCGUUCCGUGUUUAA